Molecule: long non-coding RNA, 2692 nt
Organism: Phyllopteryx taeniolatus (common seadragon)
Lineage: Eukaryota; Metazoa; Chordata; Actinopteri; Syngnathiformes; Syngnathidae
Exons: 5
Source: RefSeq, a predicted model, not a curated record
UACAAACGUGUAGGCAACUACGAACUAAGAAUUCAUUUCGUUUUUGACUGACAACCAACAAGUAGGCCUACAACUACAUGGCAAAGAGCCACAAAACCUAUGUUUGUAACCUGAAACGACAGCUCGGGAGGUCUCAGGUCAUUGGCAAUCCCAGCCGGCCCAUGCCAGUUCAUCCCAGUUUUCCUGUCGUCACAGGCUACACUUCCUUAGCAACAGAUGGGAAAGGUUGGCCAUGUUAACCCCUUAAGUAACCUUUCUUGGAGAUGAUUGAUUGAUGCUGUGCGGAGGCUGAUCGCUCGAGGAACAUGCAAACACUGACCGACUUCAAUGAGGGGCUCGCUUUCAAGGACACCUUGUGUUACUCAGGUUAAUCUAUGCAGCCAAACUUCAACGUGGGAGUUGAAGUUUACACCUUUUGAGCAAUGAGACAUGGUCAAAGAAUUAGCUCAACUGUAUUGGGCUUUGGCCGUGACUGCAGGAGGGCGUAUAUACCCAUACAAUGCAUCCUCAUCAAAACUCCCAUUCCAGAUGGUUUGAUCCAGGGAAGAUUAAGUUGUGAGAGUCAGGGAGGGUGUACGCCAUAAUCACUUCAUUGUGUUUUUUUUUUCCCCCACUUGCAUGAAGGUCAUCACAGUAAAGAAACAGUUUUGUUGUAAUAAAAUUAAGGACGUCAUAAUUAAAUAUAACCAACAUCUAUUCAUUGGAGUCGUGCAUGCGUUUCUCCACAGCUUACCAUCCAGAUAAGAGAAAUUCCACUGAUUAGCUGUAGUAAGACUUGCAAGCUGAUUACGAUUGGACUCAUCUACAGCUGCGUGGCAACUUGUUUGUGCAGUCACAAUUGAGACAGUGCGGUGAGAGGUGUGCAACUCCCAAUAGGGGUGUGCAAAUAGAUCCUGUCAAGCAUAUUGUGUCAUGUGGCUGCCGAAAAGAAUGGCUUCAGGAGUAAAUAUCCCUCCAGAUGUGGCACAGACGGUCAAAACAUGUUUUUUUGGACACAGGACACAAAUUUCCUGGACCGCCCGUGUCUGCGCGCUGCGCUCCGUCACUCCACCUGGAACAUGACAUGACUGAAAUAGAGGAGAAUUGUGAUGUGAGGAAAACAUGCUGUGGUGGCACGGAACAAACCAACUGUAUCUCCACUCUGCUCGGCUGCCCACCGCUCCAAACAGGAAAGGGAUCAGGGAAAAGGGUCAGCGACUUGUUCCCAGAGCUGAGACAAUCCAUAACACCUGCUUUGCCAACGCCUGCCCACUAGACUGAAUGGAUGUGCUGAAUGUUUUUAUUCCCCUCUGAGAGUGAACAAGUGUGACAUCACACUUAAGCGCGGCUGAUUACUGGAAAGUACAUUCUCGCCUGCGCUCCAUCAUAAUAUCUUCUUGCCAGCUUUUAAAUUCUAAUUAAUAUCUAAGACGGAGGUACUUAAUCAACCCUUUAUGCAGACUAUCUGAAGUGCAUUAAGCUUAGGCACUGAUGUAUGUGAUAGUACAAUCAGGUUGACUCUUUAAAGUGACCUGAACACCUUUGUAAUUGGAUGGCAAAGCCUUUGACUGCUGUAAUGGAUCGGCUCAUUAUUGGCAUGUAUUAUUGAUUUCCAACCACAGUGCUCUCCUGAGACGUGUGGGUUUUCCCUGAGCUUUAUAUUCCGAAAAGAAAACUCGAGACCCCAAGACAUGUAUAUACAGUAUAACAGGACAGGAGACUUUAUUAGAAUUUGAGCGCAGCGAGAUAAUUUAAGGUUUUUUUGGAGUUUGCUUGUGAAACACAUCAAUUGCUUGUGGAGGUCACUAUAAAGGUGACCUCAUCAAUAAAGCAAGGAACCAUGUUUGGUAAUUAAAAAUAAGCCAGUAGAAUCCUGUUAUUUCUCCCAGGCAAUGAGGUAAUCCUAUUAAUAAAAAUUAAAAAACUAGACCUAAAUACUGUAAUGUGGAAUUAAUAUACAAUACAUAUUAUACUGAUGAUAUAAUUUAAAAAAAAAAUGUCAUUACUGAAGUAAAAAUAGUGCAUUAUAGUACCACAAUAUGUUCCUGGGUUUCGAUUUUUGAAUUUUUCAUAUGCGAGUAUGUGCUAUAGGGUUAAAAAGCAUUUUAUUGGUGAAAUAAAUCCUGAAAUAAAAAUGUCAUUCUGCAAUAUAAAGCCUGCUCCAACACUCCCCCAGCAGCCUUUACAUUUAUGCACACACAUGCACAUGCUGCAGCGCAUUGAGGUCAGCAGUUUGUCACAACACAGAAAAUAAAGGUUUAAUUCCCCACUGAAUUCCUCACAGCUAAUCAAUGACAAGGAACUGUUGUCACUUUUGUUUUUGAAACACACAUUAUGGCAUAUUAAAACAUUAAAUAAUCACAGUGAAACAAAUUUGUAUGUACUUUAUUGUUGCAUUUACAUAAAGUUGGCAUUUUCAGAAGGGCUUUUUGUGUUCAGUCGAUCUUUUUCCACCCAGAAAUGGGACAGGGGGUAUUGAAAAAAAGUGGCAAUGUUGCUUCAUCACAAAAAAAGAAAAAAGCUCUGUUGUAAAAGGCCACAUCUACAAUACAAUAGAUGUCACACUGCCAUUAAUUAGCCUGCAGCCUGUAGAGUAGGUCAGACUUUGAUAACAGACUCAUUUGUUAUUCUUUUUCACUAUUAGCGCAAAGACAAUCCUCAGAGCUUGACUGCAAAAACAAUGAUUUACUGGUUCCAAAUAAAAAUCCUCAAG